CCUACGGGGGGCAGCAGUGGGGAACAUUGCACAAUGGGGGAAACCCUGAUGCAGCGACGCCGCGUGAAGGAAGAAGUAUUUCGGUAUGUAAACUUCUAUCAGCAGGGAAGAAAAUGACGGUACCUGACUAAGAAGCCCCGGCUAACUACGUGCCAGCAGCCGCGGUAAUACGUAGGGGGCAAGCGUUAUCCGGAUUUACUGGGUGUAAAGGGCGUGUAGGCGGGACUGCAAGUCAGAUGUGAAAAUUAUGGGCUCAACCCAUAACCUGCAUUUGAAACUGUAGUUCUUGAGUGAUGGAGAGGCAG
Molecule: ribosomal RNA, 305 nt
Filed under: uncultured bacterium
Lineage: Bacteria
Description: bacterial SSU rRNA
Rfam family: Bacterial small subunit ribosomal RNA
Source: RNAcentral